RNAcentral lists this ribosomal RNA (263 nucleotides) under uncultured archaeon. RNAcentral's name for it is "partial 16S ribosomal RNA". It matches the Rfam family "Archaeal small subunit ribosomal RNA", at positions 748 to 1008 of the family's 1478-position model. The record is from RNAcentral.
AGGGUGUAAACGCUGCAGACUUGGUGUUGGGGGCCCUUUGGGGGCAUUCAGUGCCGGAGAGAAGUUGUUAAGUCUGCUACUUGGGGAGUACGUCCGCAAGGAUGAAACUUAAAGGAAUUGGCGGGGGAGGCACCGCAACCGGGAGGAGCGUGCGGUUUAAUUGGAUUCAACACCGUAAAACUCACCAGGGAAGACUGUUACAUGAAGGCCGAGAUGAAGACUCUGCUAGAUUUUCAGAGAGGAGGUGCAUGGCGUCAGUGACU